GUCCACGCCCUAAACGAUGUCGACUAGGUGUUGGGAAGGAGACUUCUUUAGUUACCGUAGCUAACGCGUGAAGUCGACCGCCUGGGGAGGUACGACCGCAAGGUUAAAACUACAAAGGAAUUGACGGGGACCCGGCACAAGCGGUGGAUGAUGUGGAUUAAUUUCGAUGCAAACGCGAAAAAACCUUAACCUACUUUUGUACAUGUGCGGAACUUUGGUUGAGAGCUGAAGGUGCCCGAAAGGGAGCCGCAACACAGGUGCUGCAUGGCUGUCGU
Molecule: ribosomal RNA, 275 nt
Filed under: uncultured bacterium
Lineage: Bacteria
Description: partial 16S ribosomal RNA
Rfam family: Bacterial small subunit ribosomal RNA
Source: RNAcentral